AGGGGACGAUGGGACCUUCCGGACCUCAAGGACAGAAGGGUGAACGAGGAAUGCCAGGGCCUGAAGGACCAACUGGUUUGAGGGGUAAAAAAGGCCAAGAUGGUGUGAAGGGGGAAAAGGGAGAACGUGGAGAGACCGGGCCAAAGGGUCUCCAGGGAAUUGCGGGUCUUCCUGGCCCUGUUGGACCAAAAGGAGACCAAG
This is a non-coding RNA of Anolis sagrei ordinatus, 201 nucleotides long. NCBI's taxonomy places the organism in Eukaryota, Metazoa, Chordata, Lepidosauria, Squamata, Anolidae. The record is from RefSeq and is a predicted model, not a curated record.